Molecule: ribosomal RNA, 460 nt
Filed under: uncultured bacterium
Lineage: Bacteria
Description: partial 16S ribosomal RNA
Rfam family: Bacterial small subunit ribosomal RNA
Source: RNAcentral
CCUACGGGUGGCAGCAGUGAGGAAUAUUGGUCAAUGGACGAGAGUCUGAACCAGCCAAGUAGCGUGAAGGAUGACUGCCCUAUGGGUUGUAACCUUCUUUUAUCUGGGAAUCAAAUGUUCCACGUGUGGGAUUGUGUAUGUACCAUAUGAGUAAGGAUCGGCUAACUCCGUGCCAGCAGCCGCGGUAAUACGGAGUAUCCGAGCGUUAUCCGGAUGUAUUGGGUUUAAAGGGAUCGUAGGUGGAUUGUUAAGUCAGUUGUGAAAGUAUGCGGCACAACCGUAAGCUUGCAGUUGAAACUGGCAGUCUUGAGUACAGUAGAGGUAGGCGGAAUUCGUGGUGUAGCGGUGAAAUGCAUAGAUAUCACGAAGAACUCCGAUUGCGAAGGCAGCUCACUGGACUGCAACUGACGCUGAGGCUCGAAAGUGUGGGUAUCAAACAGGAUUAGAUACCCUUGUAGUC